UACGGAGGGGGCUAGCGUUGUUCGGAAUUACUGGGCGUAAAGCGCACGUAGGCGGCUUUGUAAGUUAGAGGUGAAAGCCCGGGGCUCAACUCCGGAAUUGCCUUUAAGACUGCAUCGCUAGAAUUGUGGAAAGGUAAGUGGAAUUCCGAGUGUAGAGGUGAAAUUCGUAGAUAUUCGGAAGAACACCAGUGGCGAAGGCGACUUACUGGACACAUAUUGACGCUGAGGUGCGAAAGCGUGGGGAGCAAACAGG
RNAcentral lists this ribosomal RNA (253 nucleotides) under uncultured bacterium. RNAcentral describes it as "partial 16S ribosomal RNA". It matches the Rfam family "Bacterial small subunit ribosomal RNA", at positions 524 to 776 of the family's 1533-position model. The record is from RNAcentral.